AUGAGUCGCUUCUCCCGCGCCACACUUGUGAGGAAGAAAGAAAACAGAGAGCGAGAGAAGCGACUCAUUCUUCUCACUCUACCUUCUUUACAUCUCCGUCACCGGAGAAUUUUUCCCGGUCUCGGCUAAUCUUUCCAGUGGUCCUUAAAGUUACAUUAUUAACCAGGUGAUUUUGUUAAUUUAGAAUAUUAUUAGUGAUAAAAUACUGCACUCAGAUUUCAUGCACUGAUUCUCCAGUAUUCUAUCUGUUAAUUUGAUUAUUUUAUUGUAGUGCUAAUCGUUUUAAUUGAUGAGCUCACGUCAUGGAUUGAUCCAUUUGUUUAUACUUUUGUAGUUUUGAAAAAUCGUUUAAAAUUUUGACUCUCGUUUGCUUUUUCUAAGACACUGUUUGGUUGAUGAGAAAAUCUGCUGAGAUUUUCAUCGUCUGAGAUCUGUGUAAUGCUGUAUUUUGUUUUGAAUUGUUUUGAAAUUGAAAAUUAGGAUGGAAGUUGGCACGGAAGCGAGAGGCGGUGAUGAAGGUGUCAGGAGGAGAGGUUGCUCGUGCACAACGAACGAUUUUCUCCCCGAGGAGUCGUUCCAAAGCAUGGGCAACUACUUCCAGGCACUUCGUGAGACUCCAAUGCGGUUCAAGGACAGGCUCCUCGCCAGAUCCAUGGACUCUACCGAGAUCAAUGAGGUCAAGGCGCGGAGCGAGCAUGAGAUGAAGAAGAACCUGAACUGGUGGGACCUCAUCUGGUUCUGUAUCGGCUCUGUCAUCGGCUCUGGUGUCUUUGUCCUCACCGGACUUGAGGCAAAAAAAGAUGCUGGACCUGCCGUUGUCUUGUCUUACGUAGCUUCAGGGGUCUCCGCUAUGCUCUCCGUCUUCUGUUACACCGAGUUCGCUGUAGAAAUUCCUGUUGCAGGUGGUUCAUUUGCUUACUUGAGGGUAGAGCUAGGUGACUUCAUGGCCUUCAUUGGAGCUGGCAACAUCCUCCUUGAGUACGUCAUUGGUAGUGCUGCUGUGUCUCGGUCAUGGACGUCUUAUUUCGCCACUCUCUGCAAUCACAAACCUGAUGAAUUCCGGAUCAUAGCCCAUAGCCUGCCUGAUGACUAUGGCCACCUUGACCCCAUUGCUGUUGUUGUUGUUUCCAUAACUUGUGUCCUUGCUGUCCUUAGCACCAAGGGAUCAUCGCGCUUCAAUUACAUUGCUUCCAUUUUCCACAUUGUGGUGAUUCUCUUUAUCAUUAUUGCCGGCCUUAUCAAUGCAGACGGCAAAAAUUACAUCGACUUUGCACCCUAUGGUCCUCGGGGUAUUUUUAAAGCUUCGGCUGUACUUUUCUUUGCUUGCAUUGGAUUCGAUGCAGUUUCCACAAUGGCUGAAGAGACCAAAAAUCCUGCAAAAGAUAUCCCUAUUGGUCUUGUGGGCUCAAUGACAAUAAUUACUCUGCUCUAUUGUUUGCUAGCCGUAACAUUGUGUCUUAUGGUUCCAUAUAAGAAUAUUGAUCCAGAUGCCCCAUUUUCUGCAGCAUUUCAGUUUGUGGGUUGGGAUUGGGCUAAAUAUAUUGUGGCUGCAGGGGCUCUGAAGGGCAUGACUACAGUUUUGCUGGCUUCAGCAGUAGGUCAAGCCCGUUAUCUCACACACAUUGCUCGAACUCACAUGAUGCCACCUUGGCUAGCUCAGGUCAAUGCAAAGACUGGGACUCCGGUAAAUGCAACCAUUGUCAUGCUUGCUGCUACUGCUAUAAUUGCCUUUUCUACAAAUCUUUCGAUUCUGUCCAAUCUUCUUUCCAUCUCUACUUUGUUUAUCUUCAUGCUUGUGGCGCUCGCACUUCUUGUACGCCGCUACUAUGUCAGUGGUAUGACAACAUCUGCAGAUCGUACAAAGCUCAUUUUGCGCAUUUUGGUGAUUCUUGGUUCCUCAAUUGCCACUGCUGCUAUUUAGGAUGCGGGUGUAGGUGGUUGGAUUGGCUAUGUGAUUACCCUCCCAAUAUGAUUCUUAGCUACUUUGGCACUCAAUGUUUUUUGUUCCAUAAGCAAGGCCUCCAAAAUUGUGGGGUGUUCCAUUAGUGCUGUGGUCAACCAUCUGCUUCAAUUCUUGUCAACAUUUUUCUUCUGGGAUCGAUUGAUGGGGCAUCAUUUGUAAGGUUUGGUGUUUGGACUGUUGUUUUGUUGAUCUACUACUUCCUGUUUGGCUUACAUGCCUCCUAUGACACGGCAAGGAGUCAAGGGAGAAUAGAGCUGAGGACGGCUGGAAAGGAAUGGAAGAAGGUGCAUAGUUUGGCUGAGGUGUACAGCAAUAUUUCUAUAAAUAGUAGUUCCUUACUGAUAUUAUGACUCAUUAUGUUUAGACUCUAUCGGGAGUUUCUCUUGUCAAUUACUAAUGUUUGUGUAUUUUCUUUUUAUAACUAAAAUAAUUAUUUAAGUACGUUUGUCAACUAUAAAUUGAAUCUAGGGUUCGCUGGAUUGUGACCUCCAGGUGCCCAUAGUGAAUUUUCC
RNAcentral lists this unclassified non-coding RNA (2475 nucleotides) under Hevea brasiliensis (rubber tree). The record is from RNAcentral. Lineage: Eukaryota; Viridiplantae; Streptophyta; Magnoliopsida; Malpighiales; Euphorbiaceae.